Molecule: ribosomal RNA, 305 nt
Filed under: uncultured bacterium
Lineage: Bacteria
Description: bacterial SSU rRNA
Rfam family: Bacterial small subunit ribosomal RNA
Source: RNAcentral
CAUGCCCUACGGGAGGCAGCAGUGGGGAAUAUUGCGCAAUGGGGGCAACCCUGACGCAGCAACGCCGCGUGCAGGAAGAAGGUCUUCGGAUUGUAAACUGUUGUCGCAAGGGAAGAAGACAGUGACGGUACCUUGUGAGAAAGUCACGGCUAACUACGUGCCAGCAGCCGCGGUAAUACGUAGGUGGCAAGCGUUAUCCGGAUUUAUUGGGUGUAAAGGGCGUGUAGGCGGGAAUGCAAGUCAGAUGUGAAAACUAUGGGCUCAACCCAUAGCCUGCAUUUGAAACUGUAUUUCUUGAGUGCUGG